This is a non-coding RNA of Mycobacterium terrae, 393 nucleotides long. Lineage: Bacteria; Bacillati; Actinomycetota; Actinomycetes; Mycobacteriales; Mycobacteriaceae. The record is from Rfam.
GGGGCUGAAAGGUUUCGACUGCGUGUGUCGAAUCAAGGGAAGCGUGCCGGUGCAGGCAGGAGACCACCGUUAAGCGUCGCUGUAACCAAGUAAGCGCCAAGGUUGCACUUACUCCGGCUAAGGUCGCUCUUCAGAGCGACUUCGCUCUCGCUGCUUAAGCGAUAGCGGGCCUGUCAGACCGGGACCUCCCUCGGCCCGGACCCUGGCAUCGACUAGAGGGAUCCACCGAUACGUCCGGUCGCGGGAUUUAUCGGGACACCAACAGCGACUGGGAUCGUCAUCUCGGCUCGUUCGCGUGACCGGGAGAUCCGAGUAGAGGCAUAGCGAACUGCGCACGGAGAAGCCUUGAGGGAAUGCCGUAGGACCCGGGUUCGAUUCCCGGCAGCUCCACAA